RNAcentral lists this ribosomal RNA (253 nucleotides) under uncultured bacterium. RNAcentral's name for it is "partial 16S ribosomal RNA". It matches the Rfam family "Bacterial small subunit ribosomal RNA", at positions 524 to 776 of the family's 1533-position model. The record is from RNAcentral.
UACAGAGGGUGCAAGCGUUGCUCGGAAUUAUUGGGCGUAAAGGGUAGGUAGGUGGUCUUGUUUGUCUAGGGUGAAAGCCUUGGGCUCAACCUGAGAAGUGCCUUAGAAACGGCAAGACUAGAGUCCUGGAGAGGGUCGUGGAAUUCCCGGUGUAGCGGUGAAAUGCGUUGAUAUCAUCAGGAACACCGGAGGCGAAGGCGGCUUACUGGGGCCUUUCUGACGCUGAGGAACGAAAGCUAGGGGAGCGAACGGG